RNAcentral lists this ribosomal RNA (253 nucleotides) under uncultured bacterium. RNAcentral describes it as "partial 16S ribosomal RNA". It matches the Rfam family "Bacterial small subunit ribosomal RNA", at positions 524 to 776 of the family's 1533-position model. The record is from RNAcentral.
GACAGAGGGUGCAAACGUUGUUCGGAAUUACUGGGCGUAAAGCGCGUGUAGGCUGCUUAGCAAGUCGGAUGUGAAAGCCCUGGGCUCAACCUAGGAAGUGCAUUCGAAACUGCAAAGCUUGAGUCCUGGAGAGGAAGGCGGAAUUCUCGGUGUAGAGGUGAAAUUCGUAGAUAUCGAGAGGAACACCGGUGGCGAAGGCGGCCUUCUGGACAGUGACUGACGCUGAGACGCGAAAGCGUGGGGAGCGAACAGG